This 460-nucleotide ribosomal RNA is filed under the name uncultured bacterium. Its description in RNAcentral is "partial 16S ribosomal RNA". It matches the Rfam family "Bacterial small subunit ribosomal RNA", at positions 338 to 795 of the family's 1533-position model. The record is from RNAcentral.
CCUACGGGCGGCAGCAGUGAGGAAUAUUGGUCAAUGGGCGAGAGCCUGACCCAGCCAAGUCGCGUAAAGGAUGACGGCCCUACGGGUUGUAAACUUCUUUUGUCAGGGAGCAAUUGGGUCCACGCGUGGGCUUAGCGAGAGUACCUGAAGAAAAAGCAUCGGCUAACUCCGUGCCAGCGGCCGCGGUAAUACGGGGGAUGCGAGCGUUAUCCGGUUUUAUUGGGAUUAAAGGGUGCGUAGGCGGAAUAUCAAGUCAGCGGUAAAAAUUCGGGGCUAAACCCCGUCGUGCCGUUGAAACUGAUGUUCUUGAGUGGGCGAGAAGUAUGCGGAAUGCGUGGUGUAGCGGUGAAAUGCAUAGAUAUCACGCAGAACUCCGAUUGCGAAGGCAGCAUACCGGCGCCCAACUGACGCUGAAGCACGAAAGCGUGGGUAGCGAACAGGAUUAGAUACCCGAGUAGUC